This 497-nucleotide ribosomal RNA is filed under the name uncultured bacterium. Its description in RNAcentral is "partial 16S ribosomal RNA". It matches the Rfam family "Bacterial small subunit ribosomal RNA", at positions 28 to 507 of the family's 1533-position model. The record is from RNAcentral.
GAUGAACGCUGGCGGCGUGCCUAAUACAUGCAAGUCGAGCGAACGGACGAGAAGCUUGCUUCUCUGAUGUUAGCGGCGGACGGGUGAGUAACACGUGGAUAACCUACCUAUAAGACUGGGAUAACUUCGGGAAACCGGAGCUAAUACCGGAUGAUAUUUUGAACUGCAUGGUUCAAAAGUGAAAGACGGUCUUGCUGUCACUUAUAGAUGGAUCCGCGCUGCAUUAGCUAGUUGGUAAGGUAACGGCUUACCAAGGCAACGAUGCAUAGCCGACCUGAGAGAGUGAUCGGCCACACUGGAACUGAGACACGGUCCAGACUCCUACGGGAGGCAGCAGUAGGGAAUCUUCCGCAAUGGGCGAAAGCCUGACGGAGCAACGCCGCGUGAGUGAUGAAGGUCUUCGGAUCGUAAAACUCUGUUAUUAGGGAAGAACAUAUGUGUAAGUAACUGUGCACAUCUUGACGGUACCUAAUCAGAAAGCCACGGCUAACUACGUG